This is a long non-coding RNA of Corvus hawaiiensis (hawaiian crow), 8164 nucleotides long. RefSeq lists it as uncharacterized. The record is from RefSeq and is a predicted model, not a curated record. NCBI's taxonomy places the organism in Eukaryota, Metazoa, Chordata, Aves, Passeriformes, Corvidae. The transcript is spliced from 2 exons.
GUCCCUUCCAACUCGGAAUAUUUUGUGAUUCUGUGAAAAAACCCCAAAACCUCUUCCAGCCACAUUUGCAUUGCCAGAUACGCUCAAACAAAUAGAACAGUGUCCCCUGUGAAUUAUUCUAGUCAGAAGUACUUCCUACCUCCUCCCUGUCAACACAGCCUUCGGUCCUAUGUUCACCAAAAAAUCUCUCAAUUCCUUACUCACACAGGUAGAACAAUUACUGGACACAUGCACAGGAGAAUGCACUUGCUACCCACCCAGGUUUCUGAGGAACUGGCCCGCUCUCCAUUCAACUGUUUUACCUAGACUGUCCAUUUGGGAAUAUCAACAUUUCCUUCCACACCAACUUUCACAAAACACUUUUCCUUUGAGAUGGAGAGUCCUUAAUGAUGUGGGUAAUAAGUUCUGCACUGCCUGGUGUAAACCAAACUUCACUGAGAAUUGCAGGAACGUAACACUACUGUGAAAGUCAACUCAGGACAAUGUGUCUUAAAUACAUUUGCUUCAGCUGUAGAUAUCUCACUAAAACCAAAAUUGGUUUCUCGUCCUGCAGUGAACCGUAUUAGGCUUGAAUUCAGUGGGAGCUUUGCCUGCCUUAGGAAUUUUAUAGGGAAUGAUGAAGCCAAGUGAGCCAGGCUAAUGUACAAGGCAGGCUUGUGUAAAUUGCUGAGAGGAAAAUGGAAAUGACGGAAAGGUCUGAGAGCUCCAGAAGAAGCUGAGCCAUUUAAUUGAUUCUUUUCUUGUUGCUUUCAUAUGUAGGUGAGAAAGCUGCCAGGGUCUUAAAGUUGCUUUUUGUCUUCCCAUGUAAAGGUAACCUUGAAUAUCUUUAAAACAUGCUGACAGUCAAGUACUGCUAAAUCAUCCUGGUCAGUUAAAGAUAUAUAAUAGAAGCAGAAAGGAAGGGAAAUCUUUAGAGGAGUCUAAGUAGAGAAGUUUCUUUAAAAAUAAAAUAUCAAAAUGGAAAGAAAGACUGAAUGCUAUGCUGUAUAUGUCAACAAAAAUCCCCUUAUUUUCUUAUUUACGGAUUUCAUUGAUAAUGAGGCACGCUGGCAUGCUUUGGGUUUUCAGUAUGACAUGCUGUGAUUCCCUAUUCUAUAAAGAAGUAACCUGUACACUCCACAACAGUGAAAUGCCUUAAAAAUGGAAAUUAUCUAUAUUCAUUAGAGUCUGUGCUAGAGCUCACAGGUUCUGUGUUAGGGCUCACAAAGCCAUGGAGACCCAGGUGAGCAGUCACUGGACAAAGGCAGCAAAUUGCUUGGUACUGCAAAGGGAAGUUUCCGUAAACCUUCUGCCAGGCUCAGUCUGUUUUACUGUGCAAGAGACAAACUGCAGCUUCAAUUACUAUAAGAGCAUUACAGGGAAUUUUUUGUCAGUAAGAUGCACUCCACUGAUCCCAGACAAUGUUUCCACUGCAUUAUUGUUACCAGCUUUACAAAGUCAAUGUUUUCCAGGCUUACUAGCAUAGUAAAUAAUGUCUAUUUUACACAAUAUCCAGAAUAUGAAGUAGUUGUAACUAGCUAUUGGUCUCUGUUGAUUUUUUCUUAUUAUUACUUUUACAGCAAAAAUGAUACACCACAAAUAUUCUUCUCCAUAUUCACAUAAAAUAUGCAUGCAUUGUCUUACACUGAUUUUAACUACUCAUAUCCCUGAAGUCUCAGCUUGUUCAUUGUCAGCCAGUAAAGAAUUAACCCUUCUUAUUUAGUCUAUACCAGAUUAAUCACUAUGAAAUGCUACAUGCCAUUUUGGUUUCUUCCCUUGUUCCGUCAAGGUUACUCCAUAAUUGGACAGCUCUUCUCACUGGCGUGUUUUGUUUUCAUUCACCUUCGUUUUUCAUACCUUAAUUUCAGUCUGCUACCCUUCAAUGCUUUGUUUCAUAAAAUGGAAAUGAUUCAUCUCUCUUGAUGCUCACACCCCUGAUGCAUUUGUCAAAUGACUCGUGUGGUCCCACUAGUGCAGCUCUCUGAAGGGUGUCAGUUCAGUGGGGCAGGCUUAGAACAUGCCCAGGAGAGAAAAUAAACUGCUGCAAAACUUCAUUUGGACAUGUUGUCCCCUCACCCCCAACCCCUGCAUCAGAAGAAGACUGUCUCUAAUACAUGGAACACUCAGAAGAUGCCAGGUCCAUACACAGCAGCCCUGUCUGAAUGCUCAGCCCUAGCUGAAUAUUUUUGCACAUGUUUAAAUUCCCCUCUCUUUGAGAGGAUUGAAACACUGGAGCAUUUGGCUGGAAAGAGAUUGCUUUAAACGUGCACUUACGUGCUUUGCUGAUCAGAAUGUGCUCAUGUUAAACCUUACAUGGCAAAAAAAUGGAUGUUUCUGAACUGCAUCCAAGCAGGCACCAGCAAUUUCUGCUCACGGCCACCAAUCAGGCAUCAGCACAAUGGGACCUUGAUUGGUCCUUACAGGGGCUGCUGCAAUACAAAUGGGAAAGAUUUUCUGCUCAUGAAUAACAGAUAAAGUGUCAUCCUACUGCUUGAGAAGUGAAAUAUCUAGGAGACAGUCUGACCUUUACAUCCUCCUUACUUACUCACUUUGUAGAAACAUUACUAUUUACAAGUCUGUUUUUGUACAAUAAAAAAACCAAAAAACACCCUAAUUCCAUCACUGUUUAGCAGGCAAAACUCAUACAGAGAGGAGAUAAAACCUGCAUCCUCCCCUGGGCUUUUGCUUGGGAAUGGCCACUGGCCAGCUGGAGACCGCUUGCUUGUUUACAUAAGAACAAAUCACACUCUUGUCUGCCAGCAGGUCUAUUUCUACUCGUUGUCACAGUAAUAAAUCAAUUGUUGCUGCAAAACACAGCUCCUCUCCAACUCGUGGGGAAUCUGCAAACUCUCUGCAGCCCAAAUGUCAACCAAUUGCUGGCUGGGCUUUCAGGCUGGAGUGGUGGUUAUUGUUUGCCAGUUCCUUAUUUGCAUUGGAACAGUAAAUUCCAUUCGCAGAAGCCCUUACCGUUUGGACCCGUUUGCCUUAGAAAGAAACUAAUUGCUGCCGUACAACAUCAUCCCUGCUGUGACUCACAUAGGGCACAUUUGUACUGCCUUGGCUGAAGGAGUGAACCUCAGCUGCCAGCUGGACUUCAUCCUUGCACACUGGAGCUGUUACUGCCCUCCUCAUGUUGGGGCUCUUACUGUCACAGCUGUUCACAUGAGACCUGAGCAACUCGAAGAUGCAUUAAAGUGAGCUCUCCCAUAUCUGAUUCAACUCGUCUGCACAGAGUGACUGCAGAAUGUUUCUGAGUUGGAAAAGAUGUAAAGAAGCUAUAAAGAUUUUCAGUGAGCAUCUGGGGGCUGACAGGGGAGGGUGCAUGAAGGCUUGGCUCAGAGCAGAGCUUGGCUCAGCCCCCUGAGAGUGGUCAGGAGAGGCAUCCAAGCCUCUCUACUUCCCCCCACUCAUCUGACUGCCCUCUAAGAAUUGGUUGGCAGUGAGUAGGUGGGUGGCAAAGGAUGGUUGUGUCUGAUAUUCCACCAAAAGAGAUCUGUCUUUUCCUACUCCCCAUACAGAAAACACUAUUGCCCAGAAUUCCCCGAGGCUCAAAGUACAAGAGAUAUCAUAAGAGGUAAGUAGGGAAGCCUAGGAGACUCAACAUUUUUCCCUCAGCUAAACCUUAGGGAUGCCAAAGUUUUUUUUGGAGGGGAAUACAUUUUUAAUCACAGGGUUGUAGAUAGCCCCAGCAUGACAACAUUCAGGUCCAUGACUGAGACUUGCACGUGUCAGUGCAUGUGACAGUGACAUUUGGCUUUUCUGGCUAAGCUGUCAUAGGAUAACCUGUGCCACCCUGAAAAGCUUGUGGCUCUUUAGCUUCGGGAUUUUUAGAGGGAAAAAAUAAAAAGCGCUGUUCAAUGUGACUAAAGAAGCUGCAACCUCUUGUAAGUAAAUAGGCUGUUUGCUGAAAUCCCCACAUUGCUUUGAGCCGCUUGAUAGGUCACAAGAUGUUCUGUCACAUCCACCAAGGGAAAUAAAAUGAGAUAACUGGAUUCCGCUACAUUUCUUACUGUUCUAGGGUAAAUGAGAUAAUAGUGAUGACAUAGACAUGGGGGAGAGGGAGAUAAUUUGCUGGUACACUGUCUUCUGGGCUGAGCUUUCUCAUCCAAACUAGUACAUUUUGUAGACUGAAAAAUUUAAUUUUGAGCAGCAAGGCAAAAACAUUACGGUGCAGUCCAACACUGCUGAUUCUUGGGCAGCCUGCAAUUAGAAGUGGAGUGCAACAAAGUAAUCUACAAUCCCAGAUUUCAACCUAAUUCACUGCUACAUCAAUCCAAGACACAGGAUGCAAAAAACCACAAAGGAUCUUCUGUACAAUGGUCCUCUGAUGAGAACAAACCACUUCCAGCUGCAGGGGGAAGGCAAGGAUCUUGGCAGUGGGCUGUAGGACUGGAAAUGUGCCUUACAGUGAGGUUUUACCCAAGGACCCUUAUCUACAACCUAGUGCUGCAUCUUCUCGUCUCAGGGAAUGUAUGGGGCAUUUCCCUGUGCUGCGCUAUUGCUGUGUGAGAAAAUGUUUCGUACAAGAAAAUGAGAUUUAUUUCUGCUGAACAGUCAGUGAGGGAGGGUGAUGGACAUUUGGGAUGCAUGUCUCUAGGUAUUGCUUCAUUUAUAAACAGAGACUGAAGUGAAAACAGCUUUUUCAUCAUUAAUUUGGUUCCACUGCUUUCUCUCCUGUUCAGACUGGACCAUUGCUACAAAUUAAUGGGAAACAAUGCUUACUCCAGUGAAAGAUCAUCAGCAUUCAAUUGCUCGCUUAUCUGCCUCCUCUGAUCAGGUGACAAAAGACACACACCAUCACAGUAAGCCACGUCCUCUGGCAGUCAGGGGAUCUUCCAACACUUUAGUAUUUAAUGACUCAAAAACCUGUCACGGUAAAGGCUGCAGGAAUGAAAGGCUGCAGUCUGAAAGAUCUGCCUUAAAUAAUGAAAAAUUGGUUUUGGUUUUUUUUUUAGUCUGCCCAAGUAAAGGUUUAGAGAUGGCUUGAUCAAAUACCAGCAUAGCUAGGAAGUUCCAGGUAGCUGAGGAGUUGUUAAUGUAACAGACAAAAGCAUAAAGUGCUAAGUGUAGCACACUCUAAGUAGAUGCACAAUAUCAUAGCAAGGAAUUAUUUUACUGUGGAGGGAACUAAUUCUGGAUGGGUGGAUUUUGCCACCUGGACUCUUGGGUACAUAACAUUUCAAAAGAUGUGACUACUGAGAAGUCAGUCACUCAAAUGUUAGUACCCAGUGUACCUGCGAUGGUGAGGGUGUCCCUCCUGGCCUGGCAUGAACGAUGCAUAUUUCCCAUAAGUGCUGUUCUGUAUCCGCUGAUCCCAGAGAGAUGAAGAGCAUCUCAUGGGGUACUAAACUCCUAAACAUCCUGAAAUGAAUCAAACUGUCAGUGGAUUUAGGCAGAGCAGAACUUUCAGAUGCCCUGUGCACUGGAAUUUGUUUCCAGCUGAGACCAAAGUAUCAUUUACGUUGGAAGAAACCUUUUGAAAUCCCCCAGUUCAAUCCCCCUGCUCAAGAACAGCCAGGUGAAGCACGUUGUCCAGGACCAGGUCCAGACAGGGUGAGCUGUCUGAGACACCUGCAAGGGAUGGCAAAUACACUCUAGGGAACACAUAAACCUUUCUGAAGUGCCUUCAGGAGGCCAAGAGAGGUGCUUCACAGCACCUGAACUGAUAAUAGAUGUCUGUGUUUGGGCAAAUGAAUCCCAGCCUUUGUGUCUGCUUGAACAUGGUUCCUGGAACUUUCAGCUGCCUGCUGGGCUCCAUCAUCAGCUUUGAGUAGAUUUCCACUGACUCCAGAGGGAUCUGAGAGUGUGCAGUGUCUUAAUGAUGACCUGAACCUUCACUUCUGCUGUCUGCUGUCUGCUUCCUGAGUUUGUAAUCACAUGGUGAGGUACAGAGCAUUUUACUGAGGAAAAGCAAAGAGAAUGGUCUUGUUUUACAAAAAAAACCCCAUGCAGCUGAAUAGUCUUCUGUCACAAAAGAAUCAUAGAAUGAGUUUCUCCCUUGCUGCUUGGUUAGAAAAACAUCUAUCAGAUAUAAAUAAAGGUACCUUAAUCACAUGGUAUUAAGGAUGGUUCCACAGUCUGUGACACAAGCAUGAUGGGAUAAACUUUCAGGCUUCCCUGUUAGAUCAGAGGGUGCCUGGAUCUGGCUGCUGGGCCCCUACCUGUAAAUCAUAGAAUCAUUCAGUCUGGAAAAGACCUUUAACAUCAAGUUCAACUGUAAACCUAGCAUUACCAAAUCCUGUCCUCAAAUCAUCAAGCUGCAUUACCCAACAUCUGCUUCUGAUCUCAGAUCAAAAGAGAACUUGUGCCAGUUGUGUCAGUAGAAAAUGAGAUAAAAAUCAGCAGUGGGCCGUGUGUUCUGUCACUGGAUCAGAAACAGCCAAGGGAGCAGAAUGGUGGCUGCUCUUCAAAAUGCAAGAGACACUCCAGCAGCUCCUGCAGCCUUGGCUCCUGCAGCCCAUGACCUUUACAGAUCAACCACUGCUCUGCGCAGCUCCUCAUCUUGUUCUCCCACCCUGAAAUGCCUUCAUGUCCAGGUUCCUGAUCCCUCAUGUAAAUGGAGACAGCAUUAUAAACUGUGCUGUCAUCUCCUAUUCUGGAAAUGUAAAUUCAAGGGUCUUUCAACAAUGGCUGGGAACAGUGUGGUUAAUGUGUUCCAGCUGAUGAGACUAGAUCAAGCCAAUCAUAAACUUUUUUUCUUAGUCUGCAAGGAGAUUUACCUUCCAGGUUUUAAUAUUGGUGGUGGAAUGUAGAGUGGCAUUUUCCUAAACUAACUCAGUACCAAAUUUUGGUCUGUUACAAUACUCAAAGAUUACAUCUAACUUCACAAAUUUCUCAGCAUUUUAACAGAAGUGUUGCCUUGCCUGGCUUCCUCUAGACAGCUUCUCAUGCAUAUUCAAUUUGAACAAACAAAACUCUGCGUAAUGACUCUGAUGUUAUUGUCCUAUGAUUUCAAAAGGAGGGAAAAUCACUUGGGAUAAUUGAUGAUCACGGUCAGUAUUCUGACUACAGACAAAAUAACUAAAUCAUGUGAUUUCACAUACAGAAUCAUCUGAAUAAAAAUAAAAGGCUAACCACCCACACAACUCAAUUAACAAACUAUCAAGAAGUACUCUCAUGUUUAUUAUUGCAAUAAAUCUGUGAUUUAAAUUCAGUGGCAAAAUAUUUGCAAACAUUUACUCAAUUACUGAAUGCUCAUUUUUUAUCAUAAGAUGAAUCAGAUGAAGCUCAAGUAGUGCUGUAGCUCUGUGAUGUUUAGUGCCACACAUAAGUUUAGCAUCAUAUUCUUUAGUCCUCGCUGUGGCCUUGCAUAGAAACUCUGUGACAUCAUCUCCUGUUUAUUACAGAUGGAGUGACAGAGACAGAUUUUACCUCUGUCAAAUUAGCAUUAACACUUGGUUGUAGUCAUGUCAUGAACUUAUCCCUCCAUCAGACUGCCUGGUAUGGUGUUAUAUUGCAGAAAAGAUAUCGUCAUUGAUGUGUUACUGGGAAGAACAGAAACAUCAAAGCUGCAGUGCAGUUACUGGAGAACAAAAUGAGUCUGAUUCAUCACCCUGAAAAAUCCCAUCUGAAACAAACGUCUUGAAAAGCAAGCACAGUUGCACUUUUUCAGCUGAGAACAAUGAGAAAAGUCAGUGUGCAUGAGAGACAGAGCAUUUGCCACUUGUCCAGGCUUGAUGGGAACAUGAAAGGACAUACUGCUAGUUAGCAUGAAAGCAAAGAGAGAGGUGGGAGUAGCACAGGAUUUAGAAGGGCAAUAGAGAGCAGAAGAAUGAAAAGCAGUACAGAGACACUACAGAAGAAGGGAAGGGUUACUUUCUGUAUGGUGCUGAAAAUGUGUAUUGGCACAGUGUCGCCCACUGACAAUCCAGAGGCUGGCAACUAUGAAGCUAUGAAGUCAACUCCUUAAUGAGCUUCAAUCUAUUCCCAUAUCCCUAUUUACCCAUUUGCCUCAGAAUGAAAUGGCCAUUCUGUUAUUCCACAACCUGCACAGACUGGAGUCAUUUAACUGGAAAAAAUCCAGCACAGAAAGAUAUUACAUGUUCAUGAAAAUUUAUGGCUCUAUGUUCUGUCUCUUUAAUUUCCAGCUGGUAAUUCUUGUUAGUGAGUCCUACAGAAAAGUCUCAACAAAACUGAAAACAUGAAUAAUUGCAAUGAAAUAAAACCAUUGUAUUAUUCUCACUGA